This 700-nucleotide unclassified non-coding RNA is filed under the name Hevea brasiliensis (rubber tree). The record is from RNAcentral. Lineage: Eukaryota; Viridiplantae; Streptophyta; Magnoliopsida; Malpighiales; Euphorbiaceae.
CCAACCACCAUGUCUCUGUCAUUGAGAAAUGUCAUCCACAGACAUACCACCCACAACAAAUAGGCUUCAUUUCUAAACUUAUAUUGCAAGAAUUUUCCAACUUCAAAGUUCCAACUAAAUAUUAAAUCAAUUACGUACAGAGAAGACAAUUUCAAAGUCUACUCAAACACUUUUAACUUAACAUAUAAGUGAAGCAAUGGAUUCCUAGAAAAGUUGAAGUGCACAAUUCAAUAUGCAUGCAGGGAUUGAAAAUGCCAAUAAAUUAAAUAGGGAAACUGUAAACAGAAUACAAUAGUUAACUGCAUACAAUCAAAUUUUUCUUUCUUUUCCAUUCCUUUUCACAUUUAUCAACAACCAUGACAAGUGAACCCGAUACUUUUGGUUUUUACCUGAGGUCUUAAUUGACCACUAUAUCCUUACUCUAUUUAGAAAUGGUAAAGACAGGUAUCUAUAUCACAGCACAGCCCUAAAAUAUAGUAUUUGAUAUUCAAGGACCAGUUUAUUGACUACAUCACAAUAUAACUGGACAAACAGAAACAAGUAUAUUCUGGCUACACAAAAAUAACGUCAUUACUAAAUUCAACCUGUUGGAAUACUGCUUUGAAGUUAAACAACACGAGGCUAUAUCGAAGCAAAUAAUAGACAGCUCAUUAAACAGAAAUUGUGUAGUUUAUCACUGGUAAAGCAGCCAGAACUUAAA